This 73-nucleotide transfer RNA is filed under the name Haliaeetus albicilla (white-tailed eagle). RNAcentral also lists the same sequence under 1 other name. Lineage: Eukaryota; Metazoa; Chordata; Aves; Accipitriformes; Accipitridae. The record is from Rfam by way of RNAcentral.
UAGACAGAAGUCCAGUGGUUUGGGCACCUAGCUGUUAACUAGGAAUUUGUGGGAUCGAGGCCCAUCUGUCUAG